UGGGGACCCCCCCCCCCGUGCUGCUUGCCCUGGCCGAGCUCCCCAGGCCCAGCUGUGCCGGGGGGCUGGCAGCCUUCGUCUCGUUUUUUAGGCUGCUCGGCUCCUUUUCCUGCCAGAUUUCUUCCCCGCCUGCUUUGCACGCUGGCGAGGUCUGGGCCCGUUCUCCAUCCCGCAGGGACCCUCGGCAGCUUCGUGCCAUGAAGCCUGCCCUCGCUCUCUGCUACAGCCUAGAUUCGCCUGCUGAGUCCCUCAGCACCGAUUUCGUGUUUCUUUUUCCUUUCCAGCAGGAUCCGUCCCCAGCUGCUGAACCCCUGGGUAUUUUUCCACGGCCGGCUCUUCCGUCAUGCUGCUCACGGGAAGAGCAGGAGAAACAAGACAUGCUUCCCGACAUCCCUCCCAGCUGGCAGCUUGGGGACUUCCUGACAAAAGCAGGUCUAAAAUAGCACCGCUCCUGAUGAUUCAGUGACUGCUCAACAAAGAAAUCAUUAGGUCCUCCGUCCCCCUGCAGCUUUCCUUCUCCAUCAAGAUCUGGGAAGGUGAAACCCAGCAAUGAGUCAAAACCAGCCAGCGCCCACCCCCUGGCUGCACGGCUCCGUGUCCAGGUCCCUUGCUCCUGCUCUUGGACAUCUGUCAAGAAUUUCACCCAUCGCUAAACUUUUCUUGUUUCCUCCUUGCGAAUAUAACAAGAAAAAAAAAAAAAAAAAAAAAAAAAAAGAGGGAAAGUUGUGGAAAAAAGAGAUUGGGAAAGCGAGGUCUUCCUGCUUCUCCAAGCCUUGUGAGCUGGUGCCACCCCAGCAGAGCUGUGAGAAGAGCAGGAAGGCCUCUUACAGCCCCAUGGUCUCACAGGGCAUGAAGACCUGGGCUGCCCGAAUUUGUUGCUGGAGCGCAGAGCUGUGGUAGCUCAAAGACAUUUUGAGGACAAAACUCAAGAGCAGCCUUUGCCCAAGAUGCCCUCCGCUGUCAGUGCGAGCUCCUGGCUUUGAGCUCUGGUGUCCAAGGGCAGUCAGCCCCGAGGGAUGGUGCUUGUUUCUAACAUUUGUGGUUUAUGCAGAGCUCCAAUGCAAGAACGCAGACAGAGACGUCCCAAGGGCCGGCCACGGCUUUAACCACAAAUCACAAAUGCUUCUGGGAGGCGGCACGGGGAAAGUGCUGGGUCUGGGCAGUCAGAUGGAGGAGGUUUUCCUGCAGGCUUCCCCUCGGGGCUGUGGCAGCCUGAGCCAGGACCGGUCCGAGUGGUGGCACCCGCCCGGCUGGGCUGCUGGCCCCGGGCAGCAGCAUCCGAACCCGUGCUUGGAGGCAAAGGGCGCUGCUGGCUUCCCCGGCUGGGCCUCGUGGGGGUAAAGCCACAGCCACGGCACUGC
Non-coding RNA from Anas platyrhynchos (mallard), 1361 nucleotides. The record is from RefSeq and is a predicted model, not a curated record. NCBI's taxonomy places the organism in Eukaryota, Metazoa, Chordata, Aves, Anseriformes, Anatidae.